Molecule: ribosomal RNA, 497 nt
Filed under: uncultured bacterium
Lineage: Bacteria
Description: partial 16S ribosomal RNA
Rfam family: Bacterial small subunit ribosomal RNA
Source: RNAcentral
GACGAACGCUGGCGGCGUGCCUAAUACAUGCAAGUUGAGCGAUGAAGAUUGGUGCUUGCACCAAUUUGAAGAGCAGCGAACGGGUGAGUAACGCGUGGGGAAUCUGCCUUUGAGCGGGGGACAACAUUUGGAAACGAAUGCUAAUACCGCAUAACAACUUUAAACAUAAGUUUUAAGUUUGAAAGAUGCAAUUGCAUCACUCAAAGAUGAUCCCGCGUUGUAUUAGCUAGUUGGUGAGGUAAAGGCUCACCAAGGCGAUGAUACAUAGCCGACCUGAGAGGGUGAUCGGCCACAUUGGGACUGAGACACGGCCCAAACUCCUGCGGGAGGCAGCAGUGGGGAAUCUUCGGCAAUGGACGAAAGUCUGACCGAGCAACGCCGCGUGAGUGAAGAAGGUUUUCGGAUCGUAAAACUCUGUUGGUAGAGAAGAACGUUGGUGAGAGUGGAAAGCUCAUCAAGUGACGGUAACUACCCAGAAAGGGACGGCUAACUACGUG